UGAAACAAGGAAUACUUAUUGUCCAAGGAAC
RNAcentral lists this non-coding RNA (31 nucleotides) under Mus musculus (house mouse). Lineage: Eukaryota; Metazoa; Chordata; Mammalia; Rodentia; Muridae. The record is from RNAcentral.